RNAcentral lists this ribosomal RNA (1499 nucleotides) under metagenome. Its description in RNAcentral is "bacterial SSU rRNA". It matches the Rfam family "Bacterial small subunit ribosomal RNA". The record is from RNAcentral.
GAGUUUGAUCAUGGCUCAGAUUGAACGCUGGCGGCAGGCCUAACACAUGCAAGUCGAACGGUAACAGGAAGAAGCUUGCUUCUUUGCUGACGAGUGGCGGACGGGUGAGUAAUGUCUGGGAAACUGCCUGAUGGAGGGGGAUAACUACUGGAAACGGUAGCUAAUACCGCAUAACGUCGCAAGACCAAAGAGGGGGACCUUCGGGCCUCUUGCCAUCGGAUGUGCCCAGAUGGGAUUAGCUAGUAGGUGGGGUAACGGCUCACCUAGGCGACGAUCCCUAGCUGGUCUGAGAGGAUGACCAGCCACACUGGAACUGAGACACGGUCCAGACUCCUACGGGAGGCAGCAGUGGGGAAUAUUGCACAAUGGGCGCAAGCCUGAUGCAGCCAUGCCGCGUGUAUGAAGAAGGCCUUCGGGUUGUAAAGUACUUUCAGCGGGGAGGAAGGGAGUAAAGUUAAUACCUUUGCUCAUUGACGUUACCCGCAGAAGAAGCACCGGCUAACUCCGUGCCAGCAGCCGCGGUAAUACGGAGGGUGCAAGCGUUAAUCGGAAUUACUGGGCGUAAAGCGCACGCAGGCGGCUUGUUAAGUCAGAUGUGAAAUCCCCGGGCUCAACCUGGGAACUGCAUCUGAUACUGGCAAGCUUGAGUCUCGUAGAGGGGGGUAGAAUUCCAGGUGCAGCGGUGAAAUGCGUAGAGAUCUGGAGGAAUACCGGUGGCGAAGGCGGCCCCCUGGACGAAGACUGACGCUCAGGUGCGAAAGCGUGGGGAGCAAACAGGAUUAGAUACCCUGGUAGUCCACGCCGUAAACGAUGUCGACUUGGAGGUUGUGCCCUUGAGGCGUGGCUUCCGGAGCUAACGCGUUAAGUCGACCGCCUGGGGAGUACGGCCGCAAGGUUAAAACUCAAAUGAAUUGACGGGGGCCCGCACAAGCGGUGGAGCAUGUGGUUUAAUUCGAUGCAACGCGAAGAACCUUACCUGGUCUUGACAUCCACGGAAGUUUUCAGAGAUGAGAAUGUGCCUUCGGGAACCGUGAGACAGGUGCUGCAUGGCUGUCGUCAGCUCGUGUUGUGAAAUGUUGGGUUAAGUCCCGCAACGAGCGCAACCCUUAUCCUUUGUUGCCAGCGGUCCGGCCGGGAACUCAAAGGAGACUGCCAGUGAUAAACUGGAGGAAGGUGGGGAUGACGUCAAGUCAUCAUGGCCCUUACGACCAGGGCUACACACGUGCUACAAUGGCGCAUACAAAGAGAAGCGACCUCGCGAGAGCAAGCGGACCUCAUAAAGUGCGUCGUAGUCCGGAUUGGAGUCUGCAACUCGACUCCAUGAAGUCGGAAUCGCUAGUAAUCGUGGAUCAGAAUGCCACGGUGAAUACGCUCCCGGGCCUUGUACACACCGCCCGUCACACCAUGGGAGUGGGUUGCAAAAGAAGUAGGUAGCUUAACCUUCGGGAGGGCGCUUACCACUUUGUGAUUCAUGACUGGGGUGAAGUCGUAACAAGGUA